AGGCGCGGGCUUCUCCUUGCCACGCAGGCUUUGAAUGCCGCCGCCGUGGAUGGCGCUAAACCCCGCCGCCGUCCUCCACGCGGCGCUCCUCAGAGCUUCCUCCUCCGCUUCCUGCCUGCCCCCCAGCAUCACCUUCAACUCCCUCCUCGCGGCCUCCGCGUCCUCCCCGCUCCCGCGCCUCCGCGCCCUCGCCCUCUCGGCACUCGCGCUCGCCCACGCCGCCGGCAGCGUGCCGCUCGACUCCUACGCACUCUGCCCCGUGAUCCGCGCUGCCCCCUCCGCCGCCGAGAUGCUCCACGCGCUCGCGGCCAAGUCCGGCUGGCUCGGCAGCGUCUUCGUCUCUUGCGCGCUCGCCGCGUCCCACGGCGGGUCCGGCAGGUUCCUGGACGCCCGCAGGCUGUUCGAAGAAAGUCCGGCUAAGAACGGCGUCUUCGGGAACGCCGUCCUCGCCGCUUACGUGGGCGCGGCGGAGUGGAGGCAGGCGCUGGGGUUCGUGAGGAGGUUCCUGGAGCUACGGCUGCAGAUUAACGGGUUCAUGAUGACGGCCGUCGUGCGGGCAUGCGGCGAGGUGGCAAACGCUGAUCUUGGCGUCCAGGCGCAUGGGCAUGCAAUCAGGAAGUUGGGAGGUGUAGAGGCGGAUGUGUUCUUGGUCAGUGCGCUCGUGGACAUGUACGCCAAGUGUGGGCUUGUCCACCAAGCUGAGCGGGUGUUCGGCCUGGCGCAGCAAGAGAAUGGUGGCAGAGGUGAUGUUGUGCUGUGGACGGCUAUGUUAAAUGCAUAUGGGCGGCACGGGCAAUGCAAGGAGGUUAUCCGGAUGUAUGACCUGAUGGUGGCUUCUGGUAUCUAUCCUGAUGAACUGGCAAUGCUAGCGGUCCUCUCAGCGUGCCAGCAUGCUGGGGAGGUGGCCAAGGGGCUCAAGUACUUUGAGUUCAUGCACGAAGAUUACGGGUUGGUGCCCACACCAGAGCACUAUGGUUCUGUGGUCAACAUGCUGUGUCGAGCAGGGGAAGUGGCCAAGGCAUGGGAAAUUGCCACCAAGAAUGGCUGUGAUAGUGCAAUCGGCGUGUCUACAUGGGGUGCACUGCUCAGUGCUUGCCAAGAUUGCGGAAAUGUUGAGGUUGGGAAAAUGGCAGCUCAGAAGGCAAUCGAAUUGGAGCCUGCCAACGUCGGCAUUUACAUUCAACUGUCAAAUUUGUAUGCAAGGGCUUGUUUGUGGGAGGAGAUUGACCAGCUGCGGGAGUUGUUGAAGGAGAAAACGCUGGAAAAGGAUGUUGGAUCUACUUGGGUUGAGCAUGGUUCCUGAAAGAACUUUGAAAAUGCUUUGUGUUGCUAUAUGAUCCAACCAUUAUGAUUGGAGCAGAGGGAGGCAAUUCUUGUUAGCGAUAACCUACCACAUCCCACAGAACUGACUGUUUCCAGGACAAGAUUGGAAUUGUGUUCUUUCUUCGCUGUCAAACUUGAGAUAGUAUGGAGGAAUAAGUGAGAUCAACAGCGGCUGCAUUUUUUUGCAUGCCUGGGGUAACUUGAGAUGUAUCCCUGUGUGACAAUGCGCAAAUUGUUACUUACCGUUGUUUCAUGUAUAUACGAUACCAUCAUUAUGCUGCGACAACUAGACAUAUGCAAUGCAUUUUGACACAUUGCCAUGAACUUUUGACUGCAAUAUGAUGCUCUGGUAGCUGUAUAUUUGUAUUGAAGUGAACGUACGGUUAGCAUGGUUGCUGCUAUGUGACUACACUGGGUCCUGAAGGUACAAAACUCAGAAUGUGUUUACUUUUAUAACUCAGCCAGGGUAUCAAUGCUUUCUUAGAUUUCUCCAGAUUGUUAUUUCUUCCUAAUAUUUGUGAUCAUACCUGCAACUUUUAUGUUUGAAGUGGCUCUUACAAUCAAGAUUAGGCCCACUACACAAAACUGAGAAUUGCUAUGCCAACUAAAACUUUUUAGAAAAAUUGCAUUAUAAAUAUGAUGAGUUUACCUAGACAAAGCUAGUACCAAAAAGAUCAUCCUGCUCGCCCAAAUGAUUAAACAGAAUCACUGUUCCUUUUAAGAGAAAUGAGGAGAUACACAAGGAACUGAGUAUAUUCUUUUUAAUAAGGGGAACUUUUAAGGAGAAUGGAGGCUUGAAUCCAUGACCUUUAGAAGCUCUAUCUCUUGCUCUACCCCUAGGCUGCAUGUGUUCCUGAAAAGGUUAUUCUUUUUUGAUAAUUUGUUAUAAUCCAAAUAUUUGCGGUAGAAGAAUCUGAAGAGACCACCAUAAUUCUGGCAUAUAUCUCAAACACAAUUCUGGUGUAUGUCAGAACUGAAUUUACGUGAAAUACUGUGUUCGCCUCCCAGUGCUAUAUUUAGCAACUCAUGCUGUAUAUUGGGUAUGAAAAUACUAAUACCCGAAAGACAUAAAAACCAGGAGUAGGUAUCUCUCUUUUAGCAGCUGAAGCAUGAUUAUUCAAUUUGUCUUGCGCAAGCAAGAAAGCAUACUCAUGUGCCAAAAAGCAUGUCUGUUAUGAUCCUAAAGUGAGGUUCAGAUUACUGUAAAAAGUUCAGAUAAAGAUAAAGAGUGCCAUAACUUCUAGCUUUCUAUCUAUUUUACUCCUCACUGCUCUCUUGACAGAUAGAAUCCAGUUCUAUUUGGAAACUUCAAAAUUUUACAGAAAUCAGUAUUCACCUUCCUAGAUCUGAGAGACUUUCAGCGGGACCAUAUGCUGAAAAUUGUGUCCAUAACAUCUCACUGUUAGUGGAAACCCAGAAAAGAAAAUGGCCAGGAUGGCAAGCUUCCCUGAAGUGAUUCCUGCAGCUUCACAACCAGGCCAACUCUAACUUCACUUCCAGGGCAGGAAUCAAAUGGAGGGGCAGAAACAACCUUGGUAUGAUAACAAUGAAGGAAAAGAAUGCAUUCCAAGCUUGCGUGCCUUUUGUUCUGUGGAACUAUAUAAACACUGGCCCCCUUGCAUCUUGUAAGCACACACGGACACACUCUGGUUGCCCUUUUCUUGGACCAAAGAUGGGUGCCUCCUUCAGUGCCUUCAACAAAUUUGGACUCCCAGGGCUGAGCACGGCAACUACCAAGCAAGUUUAUGAACGACAUUUCAAGAACAAGAAGACUGGCAAGUUUGAGGAGUUCCAUAUUGCUUAUAUCGAGUUCUGCAAGUAUUUCAACACUGUAAUGCCCGGUCAAGAUUUCGACACUCCAUCACUCGAAAAGAUUCAGGAAUUUUAUGCGAAGGAGUGGGAGCCGGAGAAGAACGAGGAUACAAGGAAGGAAUUGUUUUUCAAGUUCAUGAAGGAGAAUGUCAAGGAAGCGACGGUGGACGACAGCUUCUUCAUCGCGGCAGGAAUCGCCGCACCUGUGGCGGCCGUCAUCGGCAAGAGGGCCAGCGGGCACAUCCCCUACGUCAAGAGCCUGAGGCUGGACAUGGUCCCCAACGUCGUCUUCGUGCCGGUGGUCACGCUCUUCGGCAUUAUGGGAGCCACCGCGUGGCAGAUGAGCAGCAAGAGCGCCGCGGCCAAGGAAGAGGAGGCCAAGGAAGACGAGAAGCGCGCAGCGGAGCAGCGCAAGGAUAAGGCGUCUUAGACAGUUGCCUUGUUUAUCUCUUGUACAUGCGUUGAAAAGCGAUAUGGAUGACUCAAUCAAUGACCAAGAUUUUUAUUUGGAACAUUUUAUGGUGCAUAAAUAAUCUCGUCGGUACAAAGUGUAAACUUGGGCGUGAAAAUAUAUAUUUUUAUUUCCUGCUGCUGUGAACACGAAUACUUUGAUCAA
RNA transcript from Panicum virgatum (switchgrass), 3751 nucleotides. RefSeq lists it as uncharacterized. Lineage: Eukaryota; Viridiplantae; Streptophyta; Magnoliopsida; Poales; Poaceae. The transcript has 4 exons. The record is from RefSeq and is a predicted model, not a curated record.